Molecule: ribosomal RNA, 156 nt
Filed under: uncultured Geobacter sp.
Lineage: Bacteria; Pseudomonadati; Thermodesulfobacteriota; Desulfuromonadia; Geobacterales; Geobacteraceae
Description: partial 16S ribosomal RNA
Rfam family: Bacterial small subunit ribosomal RNA
Source: RNAcentral
AGAGUUUGAUCCUGGCUCAGAACGAACGCUGGCGGCGUGCCUAACACAUGCAAGUCGAACGGAAUGAGGGGGCUUGCUCCUUCAUUUAGUGGCGCACGGGUGAGUAACUGCGUAGUAUAAUCUAGCCUGUAUGAUCUGUGGAUAACACCUUCGUAA